RNAcentral lists this ribosomal RNA (570 nucleotides) under uncultured Gammaproteobacteria bacterium. RNAcentral describes it as "bacterial SSU rRNA". It matches the Rfam family "Bacterial small subunit ribosomal RNA", at positions 812 to 1381 of the family's 1533-position model. The record is from RNAcentral. Lineage: Bacteria; Pseudomonadati; Pseudomonadota; Gammaproteobacteria.
UCGAUUUGGAGGUUGUGCCCUUGAGGCGUGGCUUCCCGGAGCUAACGCGUUAAAUCGACCGCCUGGGGAGUACGGCCGCAAGGUUAAAACUCAAAUGAAUUGACGGGGGCCCGCACAAGCGGUGGAGCAUGUGGUUUAAUUCGAUGCAACGCGAAGAACCUUACCUGGUCUUGACAUCCACAGAACUUUCCAGAGAUGGAUUGGUGCCUUCGGGAACUGUGAGACAGGUGCUGCAUGGCUGUCGUCAGCUCGUGUUGUGAAAUGUUGGGUUAAGUCCCGCAACGAGCGCAACCCUUAUCCUUUGUUGCCAGCGGUUAGGCCGGGAACUCAAAGGAGACUGCCAGUGAUAAACUGGAGGAAGGUGGGGAUGACGUCAAGUCAUCAUGGCCCUUACGACCAGGGCUACACACGUGCUACAAUGGCAUAUACAAAGAGAAGCGACCUCGCGAGAGCAAGCGGACCUCAUAAAGUAUGUCGUAGUCCGGAUUGGAGUCUGCAACUCGACUCCAUGAAGUCGGAAUCGCUAGUAAUCGUAGAUCAGAAUGCUACGGUGAAUACGUUCCCGGGCCU